This 585-nucleotide ribosomal RNA is filed under the name uncultured bacterium. Its description in RNAcentral is "bacterial SSU rRNA". It matches the Rfam family "Bacterial small subunit ribosomal RNA", at positions 270 to 865 of the family's 1533-position model. The record is from RNAcentral.
AAGGCGACGACGGGUAGCCGGCCUGAGAGGGCGACCGGCCACACUGGGACUGAGACACGGCCCAGACUCCUACGGGAGGCAGCAGUGGGGAAUAUUGCACAAUGGGCGAAAGCCUGAUGCAGCGACGCCGCGUGAGGGAUGACGGCCUUCGGGUUGUAAACCUCUUUCAGCAGGGACGAAGCGAAAGUGACGGUACCUGCAGAAGAAGCACCGGCCAACUACGUGCCAGCAGCCGCGGUAAUACGUAGGGUGCAAGCGUUGUCCGGAAUUAUUGGGCGUAAAGAGCUCGUAGGCGGUUUGUCGCGUCGGCUGUGAAAACCUGGGGCUCAACCCCGGGCCUGCAGCCGAUACGGGCAUACUAGAAUUCGGUAGGGGAGACUGGAAUUCCUGGUGUAGCGGUGAAAUGCGCAGAUAUCAGGAGGAACACCGGUGGCGAAGGCGGGUCUCUGGGCCGAUACUGACGCUGAAGAGCGAAAGCGUGGGGAGCGAACAGGAUUAGAUACCCUGGUAGUCCACGCCGUAAACGUUGGGCGCUAGGUGUGGGCGACCUUCCACGUGGUCUGUGCCGCCACUAACGCAUUAAGC